AACGAACGCUGGCGGCAUGCCUAACACAUGCAAGUCAAACGAGACCUUCGGGUCUAGUGGCGCACGGGUGCGUAACGCGUGGGAACCUGCCCUUAGGUUCGGAAUAACUCCCCGAAAGGGGUGCUAAUACCGGAUAAUGUCUUCGGACCAAAGAUUUAUCGCCUUUGGAUGGGCCCGCGUUGGAUUAGCUAGUUGGUAGGGUAAAAGCCUACCAAGGCGACGAUCCAUAGCUGGUCUGAGAGGAUGAUCAGCCACACUGGGACUGAGACACGGCGCAGACUCCUACGGGAGGCAGCAGUGGGGAAUAUUGGACAAUGGGCGAAAGCCUGAUCCAGCAAUGCCGCGUGAGUGAUGAAGGCCUUAGGGUUGUAAAGCUCUUUUACCCGGGAUGAUAAUGACAGUACCGGGAGAAUAAGCUCCGGCUAACUCCGUG
RNAcentral lists this ribosomal RNA (433 nucleotides) under uncultured bacterium. RNAcentral describes it as "partial 16S ribosomal RNA". It matches the Rfam family "Bacterial small subunit ribosomal RNA", at positions 29 to 507 of the family's 1533-position model. The record is from RNAcentral.